UAGGGAAUCUUCGGCAAUGGGGGCAACCCUGACCGAGCAACGCCGCGUGAGUGAGGAAGGUUUUCGGAUCGUAAAGCUCUGUUGUAAGAGAAGAACGUGUGUGAGAGUGGAAAGUUCACACAGUGACGGUAACUUACCAGAAAGGGACGGCUAACUACGUGCCGG
RNAcentral lists this ribosomal RNA (165 nucleotides) under uncultured bacterium. RNAcentral's name for it is "partial 16S rRNA". It matches the Rfam family "Bacterial small subunit ribosomal RNA", at positions 355 to 511 of the family's 1533-position model. The record is from RNAcentral.